This 72-nucleotide transfer RNA is filed under the name Spirochaetaceae bacterium. RNAcentral's name for it is "tRNA-Cys". It matches the Rfam family "tRNA". Rfam says of the family: Transfer RNA (tRNA) molecules are approximately 80 nucleotides in length. Their secondary structure includes four short double-helical elements and three loops (D, anti-codon, and T loops). Further hydrogen bonds mediate the characteristic L-shaped molecular structure. tRNAs have two regions of fundamental functional importance: the anti-codon, which is responsible for specific mRNA codon recognition, and the 3' end, to which the tRNAs corresponding amino acid is attached (by aminoacyl-tRNA synthetases). tRNAs cope with the degeneracy of the genetic code in two manners: having more than one tRNA (with a specific anti-codon) for a particular amino acid; and 'wobble' base-pairing, i.e. permitting non-standard base-pairing at the 3rd anti-codon position. The record is from RNAcentral. Lineage: Bacteria; Pseudomonadati; Spirochaetota; Spirochaetia; Spirochaetales; Spirochaetaceae.
GGUGCCAUACCCAAGCGGUAAGGGAACGGUCUGCAAAACCGUGAUGCAUCGGUUCAAAUCCGAUUGGCACCU